UAUUGCUCUUCAACGAGGAAUCCCUAGUAAGCGUGAGUCAUCAGCUCACGUUGAUUACGUCCCUGCCCUUUGUACACACCGCCCGUCGCUACUACCGAUUGAAUGGCUUAGUGAGACCCUCGGAUCGACGCGUAGAAACCUUCACGGGUAUCUACUUGUUGAGAAGUUGGUCAAACUUGGUCAUUUAGAGGAAGUAAAAGUCGUAACAAGGUUUCCGUAGGUGAACCUGCGGAAGGAUCAUU
RNAcentral lists this ribosomal RNA (242 nucleotides) under Dentiscutata heterogama. RNAcentral describes it as "partial 18S ribosomal RNA". It matches the Rfam family "Eukaryotic small subunit ribosomal RNA", at positions 1591 to 1830 of the family's 1831-position model. Lineage: Eukaryota; Fungi; Glomeromycota; Glomeromycetes; Diversisporales; Gigasporaceae. The record is from RNAcentral.